GUGAGGAAUAUUGGUCAAUGGGCGAGAGCCUGAACCAGCCAAGUCGCGUGAAGGAAGAAGGAUCUAUGGUUCGUAAACUUCUUUUGCAGGGGAAUAAAGUGCGGGACGUGUCCUGUUUUGUAUGUACCCUGAGAAUAAGGAUCGGCUAACUCCGUGCCAGCAGCCGCGGUAAUACGGAGGAUCCGAGCGUUAUCCGGAUUUAUUGGGUUUAAAGGGUGCGUAGGUGGUUUGAUAAGUCAGAGGUGAAAGUUUGCAGCUUAACUGUAAAAAUGCCGUUGAAACUGUCGGACUUGAGUGUAAAUGAGGUAGGCGGAAUGCGUGGUGUAGCGGUGAAAUGCAUAGAUAUCACGCAGAACUCCGAUUGCGAAGGCAGCUUACUAAGCUACAACUGACACUGAAGCACGAAAGCGUGGGGAUCAAACAGGAUUAGAAACCCGGGUAGUCC
RNAcentral lists this ribosomal RNA (445 nucleotides) under uncultured bacterium. RNAcentral's name for it is "partial 16S ribosomal RNA". It matches the Rfam family "Bacterial small subunit ribosomal RNA", at positions 354 to 796 of the family's 1533-position model. The record is from RNAcentral.